CAGUGCUGGAAUUACAUCAGGGAUGAACUUGUCCCUGUGGGCUUCCCCAGCUCACAGUCCUGAAGCAUCACCUGCAGCAGUUACCAGGAUCGUGGUGCAACACCGCUGCCCUCGUAUUUAAGCAAAAAGCCCCUCCGCUGAGCUCUCUCUUUACCUUCCCAUUCACUAGUGGUUGAAACAGACAUUUGAUUUUUCUACUGUGUGCCUGGAGCUAUUUUUAGCAGCUAAUAGCUGACACCCUAGGGAGCAUGAUGUCACCAGAACUCGCACUUACAGAGCUAUCAAGGCCUGGCUGGGCACAGCAGCUGCACCCAGUGAGCUGCUCAGGCAAGGGGAGAGGCUGUGACACCACCAGGGCGGAGUUCAGAAGGCCAAACAGAGGAGUUCUAGCCAGAUCCCAAAGGAAAGAUUUUUCCUCCUUUUGUAAGUGAUUCUGCAGAAGUGAAAGAAACAACUACAAUUCACCACUCCGCCGUUUCCAGCAACAGACAAGGCAUUAAAAGGCUCAAAUCACCCAACAGCACUUACGGGCAUGAGCUAAGAUUUAAGGAGACUCAAAUUCUCAGCUGUACUACCAGCUUGCUGGAUGAGCUGUUACAAAGUAUUUUCCCAAGCAACUUGCUUUCGACCUGGCACAUGAGACUGACUCACAUGAAUGAGCUGAGCAGCACAAUGGGGACAAAUCCAGUUUGAAAGGAAAGGAGACGACACUGGUGCAGAACUGCAGAGAACAUGGCUUCUGAAUGAGUCUUAGGAGGAGGCACUAUCACAGACUCUUGCAAACAUUUCAAGACACUGUGCAUCAGCCAUGUUGUCAAGUCUAACAAAAACCCAGCAAACAUCAUUUAUAUCAAGGCCUUUGUAGAGCUAUGUCAUUAAAACAUCAGGAAGGUUGAAGGAUGACUUUUCUUUCUUAAGUUGAUAUGAUUCUGAACAAUACAUCAUUGAGUAUCAAGAUUUAAGAUUUUUUCUGUUUGUCUGUUCUUGUACAAGACAGACAUGUCUUGUGAAAUGAUUCCAAACUCAUUAUUGCUAUCCUUGCACUUCUCCAUAGCCAUAUUACAGCUGGACUAGCUCACAUCGAGGAUGCCCACAUUAAAAGAUAACAGCAUCCUUUGGUAGCAGAAACUAUAGGCUUUCAGCAUUCUCUGGCUUUCAUGGUUUGACUAGCUCUGAACAUUACACCAAAACUCAGCAAGAUAACUAAAGAACAGAAAGUACCAACAUUCACAAAAGGCAAACAUCUGAAUAUGAACACAUUGCUGUUAAUAUCCUUUAGUAUUCAGUUUUAAUGAAAUUCACAGACACAGACUGUCCUUUAGCACAAAUGCAUUCAAAACUAGUAAUUCCUUGUUCUUGUUCCACCUUUAUUCCACUUCCACCAUGGUAGUCUAACACUUCUCAACUCAGAUUACAGCUUCACAAGAGAGAAGUUUAUGUCCAAAUACUCCAAUGGGUGACUUCCACCUUAACUGGAGAAUCCUGGGUAAUGGAAAACAAGUUUUUCCAACAAGAUUGGACAGAGGCAAGUCUAAUCAUUCUGUCACAAGACAGGGAAAGGUCAUACAGGCCACCAACGAUGGUUGUGCCUGCAAUCACUGGGGUCAUCCUUUUAGCAUUGCUAGUUCAGACAAGCCAUCAACUACCAAAUCAAUCCAGCCACACCACUCAAGAUACAUGACAACCGCAGGACUUGAACUGCUACAUCUAUCUUCAGCACCUAGGACUACACAUCCACUAGUGAGCAUGAAAGCACUACUACAGUCUGUGGGGCACAGUUAAGAUGUAUGUAAAAAUGCAAUUGAAAAUAGUCUCCAAGCAAUAUAGUUUAAAAGGCCUCACUGCUCCAGCUGUGUGUUCAUGUUUUUUUUUUUACUCUUCUCUGCAUCUUGAAAAGCAAAAUCUGAUCAGACAUCUAACUAGGAUAGAAAUAUUCAUGCAGUCUGUUCUAGGUGGGUUAUGUAUUGUCAAAUACUAUACAACAGCGAAUGCUACAACCUUAUCACCUGCAGAUGCAGUUGAAUGGCAGCACAAAUCCAGUUUUUUAAAUGCACUAAUUUAAAAACAUCUGAGAUUUGCCCACGAGUUCUACUCAAC
Gallus gallus (chicken) is the source of this 2097-nucleotide long non-coding RNA. Lineage: Eukaryota; Metazoa; Chordata; Aves; Galliformes; Phasianidae. The record is from Ensembl.